AUCCGGAGGGUGCGAGCGUUAAUCGGAAUUACUGGGCGUAAAGCGUACGUAGGCGGUUGGUUAAGUUAGAUGUGAAAGCCCCGGGCUUAACCUGGGAACUGCAUUUAAAACUGGCGAACUAGAGUUGAGUAGAGGGGAGUGGAAUUUCAGGUGUAGCGGUGAAAUGCGUAGAGAUCUGAAGGAACACCAGUGGCGAAGGCGACUCCCUGGACUCGAACUGACGCUGAGGUACGAAAGCGUGGGUAGCAAACGGGAUUAGAUACCCUAGUAGUCC
This 274-nucleotide ribosomal RNA is filed under the name uncultured bacterium. Its description in RNAcentral is "partial 16S ribosomal RNA". It matches the Rfam family "Bacterial small subunit ribosomal RNA", at positions 523 to 796 of the family's 1533-position model. The record is from RNAcentral.